This is a non-coding RNA of Equus caballus (horse), 533 nucleotides long. The record is from RefSeq and is a predicted model, not a curated record. NCBI's taxonomy places the organism in Eukaryota, Metazoa, Chordata, Mammalia, Perissodactyla, Equidae.
GCCAGGAAGUCAGGUGCCGAGGCUGGAAAGACUCCAUUCCAGAUCCGUUGGCAGUUGGCCCUUCAGCUGCUAUACAACCCCAUGAUGGGCCCAGGGGUAUUGGAGCUGGUUUUGGACCACAGGAGGAGAGUGAAGUGAAGUACAACCAAUAUCGUCAGCAGCAAGCUUGUCAAGUUAGCACUGGAGCUGUUGACUCUCCAGCAGGAAGAAGUAAGCUAAAAGUCAAAGGGCAUAAAAUCAAAGAUUUAUUUGUCCUGCCUAUGUACUAAUUUCUCAGAUUUUGGAAGAUUUAGUCAUCAGAUGUUUUACCACACUUGUUGUAACAUCGGCUUCAAACCUGUCAGUUAACCUUGCCUGUGUCGGCCACAGGGAAGCAGACUCACGAAGAACAAGUAUGAAAGUCAUACACGGAGCAGGAGGGAGAGAGGGCACAAUGGCAGCAAACGCCGAUGACUGGCUCCUCUUUGCAAAGUACAGUUGUAAUCUUUUUAAUAAAAUGACCCUGGCAUUUUGCCUCAAUAACUUUUCCUGUA